ACGAACGCUGGCGGCGUGCUUAACACAUGCAAGUCGAACGGAAAGGCCCUGCUUGCAGGGUACUCGAGUGGCGAACGGGUCAGUAACACGUGGGUGAUCUGCCCUGCACUUCGGGAUAAGCUUGGGAAACUGGGUCUAAUACCGGAUAGGAGCCAUCUUUAGUGUGGUGGUUGGAAAGUUUUUUCGGUGUAGGAUGAGCUCGCGGCCUAUCAGCUUGUUGGUGGGGUAAUGGCCUACCAAGGCGGCGACGGGUAGCCGGCCUGAGAGGGUGUACGGCCACAUUGGGACUGAGAUACGGCCCAGACUCCUACGGGAGGCAGCAGUGGGGAAUAUUGCACAAUGGGCGCAAGCCUGAUGCAGCGACGCCGCGUGGGGGAUGAAGGCCUUCGGGUUGUAAACUCCUUUCGCUAGGGACGAAGCUUUUUGUGACGGUACCUAGAUAAGAAGCACCGGCUAACUACGUG
RNAcentral lists this ribosomal RNA (464 nucleotides) under uncultured bacterium. Its description in RNAcentral is "partial 16S ribosomal RNA". It matches the Rfam family "Bacterial small subunit ribosomal RNA", at positions 29 to 507 of the family's 1533-position model. The record is from RNAcentral.